RNAcentral lists this long non-coding RNA (1591 nucleotides) under Lactuca sativa (garden lettuce). Its description in RNAcentral is "long non-coding RNA (LSAT_LNC001203)". Lineage: Eukaryota; Viridiplantae; Streptophyta; Magnoliopsida; Asterales; Asteraceae. The record is from RNAcentral.
AAAAAAGUAACUAUAUAUAAAAUUUAAAUUUCAUGAUGGCAAUAAAAAUAGAUUUAUUAUUUUUUUUAAAAAAAUAAAACUAUUAAUGAAAAUAAAUUAACAAAUUUAUAUACAUGUUUUUAGAAAUCUUAAAAUUGCAUUUUUAGUUUAAUCCCUCUUAUUCGAUUCAAAAAAUUUCAGGUUCCCCACUACCCUAAAAAUUUAGAUCGAGUUUCCCGGGCCAAAUUGUAUUUAAACCUAAUAUCAAUUUGUUCCAUCCACAUCACAUAUUCAAUCUUCCUUCAUGGAUCGUCUACAACACACAUACCCCAUCUUUAUCCUAUAAACUCAUCGAUCGAAUAUUAAGUAAUCAGAAAACACCACAAGCAACCCACAUGCUAGUCUCUCACGCCUGAUUUCUGCCAUUUCAUUGUGGUUAGCCGGAACAGCACCAACCGUCGUUCUAAUGUUGUUUCCCUAUUUUUCUUCUACUCUUCCCAUUCUUCCAUGUUCCACUAUCACUCCACUUAAUUACCUUUUGUCAUGAGUCACAUCUCCUCAGUGACGGCCUAUGCAACUCCAAUUCAACCACUGAGAUCUUCAAACCCUAGCAUCUCUUUCAUGUCCUUCGGCGUUGAGUCCUGUCCAACAUUCACCACCCUGUAAGUAAGUUAAUAACUAAAAACAUAUAUUUGAUUCUUGGUUUUUUCGUUUGUAAAUGAGUGAAAAUGGCUGAUGUGUUUGACUGCUUUUCCGUUAUCGACUUUGUUGGACUGUUUUGCCCUUGGUUGUCUUCUCUCUCUAUCUUUUCCAAUUGAUAGAACUCUCUAAAAUAUUUUACAUCUUGAUAUGAAUGAUGGUUUGGCAACAGAUCAUGCACAUAUAGUGAUAAAAAGUAUGAAGUUAUAUAAUUUCUCAUUAUCAUAUUGUGUUAAAGAAAAUUAGUGAGAAUUUGGAAUUGUAUCAGAAAUUAGUACCCAGAUGUGCUACUAUUAGAUUUGUAAGCCAUGGAUCUAUCACAAAGUUUUAAUCGAUAAUCCACCUUGAUAUUAUAGGUUGCAAGAAAUUUGAGUUUUCUGAGAUUUGUUGUUCAUUUCUUUGUUUUUGUCAAUUAGAGAAGAUAUUUAUGAAUCUUUUUGGAAGAAUAAUUCAUGGUCUGUAUAUUAUUGUGUUACAAGUAUUUAUGCAGAACUGGAUGUUUACUUUUGUAUAAUUCAUUUUCAUGCAAUUUCUUUAUCAUUUCUAUAGUUUCACAUACGUAGGAGGCCAUUUAAGACUUAUGCAAUAGUCUUGAAAGAGAAUUAGGAGGAAGUCAUUGUAGAAGAAACAUUUCAACCCACAACUUCUCUCGAUGAAGAGAAUAGAAGUCCAAGUGAGCCCCCAAAUGAUGAAAGGGAAGAAUUGAGGGACUUGUUGCUAAACAAUAAAAGAAAAAUAAAGAGCUUAAAGAAAUAAUGAAGGCCCAAGAAGACCAAUACAACACAAGAGUCGAGCAACUUGAUACCCAACUUAAAUCGUCAAUAGAUCUUAUUUAAUGUUAUUAGAGAACAACAAAACUAGUAGGUCAUAAAGUGUUUAUAUGUUGAUUAUAAAGUAUUUAUUUUAGAGUAGC